ANCNGNACCCCAAACCGACACAGGUGGUCGGGUAGAGAAUACCAAGGCGCUUGAGAGAACUCGGGUGAAGGAACUAGGCAAAAUGGCACCGUAACUUCGAGAAGGUGCGCCGGCUAGGGUGAAGGAUUUACUCCGUAGCUCUGGCUGGUCGAAGAUACCAGGCCGCUGCGACUGUUUAUUAAAAACACAGCACUCUGCAAACACGAAAGUGGACGUAUAGGCGUGACGCCUGCCCGGUGCCGAAGGUAAUUGAUGGGGUUAGCGCAAGCGAAGCUCUUGAUCGAAGCCCCGGUAAACGGCGGCCGUAACAAUAACGGUCCUAAGGUAGCGAAAUUCCUUGUCGGUAAGUUCCGACCUGCACGAAUGGCGUAACGAUGGCGGCGCUGUCUCCACCCGAGACUCAGUGAAAUUGAAAUCGCUGUGAAGAUGCAGUGUAUCCGCGGCUAGACGGAAAGACCCGUGAACCUUUACUGUAGCUUUGCACUGGACUUUGAGCCUGCUUGGUAGGAUAGGUGGGAGGCUUUGAAGCGUGGACGCCAGUUCGCGUGGAGCCAUCCUUGAAAUACCACCCUGGCAUGCUUGAGGUUCUAACUCUGGUCCGUAAUCCGGAUCGAGGACAGUGNNNGGGGGCAGUUUGACUGGGGCGGUCUCCUCCUAAAGAGUAACGGAGGAGUACGAANGGCGCUCAGACCGGUCGGAAAUCGGUCGCAGAGUAUAAAGGCAAAAGCGCGCUUGACUGCGAGACAGACACGUCGAGCAGGUACGAAAGUAGGUCUUAGUGAUCCGGUGGUUCUGUUGGAAGGGCCAUCGCUCAACGGAUAAAAGGUACUCCGGGAUAACAGGCUGAUACCGCCCAAGAGUUCAUAUCGACGGCGGUGUUUGGCACCUCGAUGUCGGCUCAUCACAUCCUGGGGCUGAAGCCGGUCCCNGGUAUGGCUGUUCGCCAUUUAAAGUGGUACGCGAGCUGGGUUUAGAACGUCGUGAGACAGUUCGGUCCCUAUCUGCCGUGGACGUUUGAGAUUUGAGAGGGCUGCUCCUAGUACGAGAGGACCGGAGUGGACGAACCUCUGGUGUUCCGGUUGUCACGCCAGUGGCAUUGCCGGGUAGCUAUGUUCGGAAAGAUAACCGCUGAAAGCAUCUAAGCGGGAAACUUGCCUCAAGAUGAGAUCUCACUGGGAACUUGAUUCCCUGAAGGGCCGUCGAAGACUACGACGUUGAUAGGCUGGGUGUAAGCGUUGUGAGGCGUUGAGCUAACCAGUACUAAUUGCCCGUGAGG
This 1276-nucleotide ribosomal RNA is filed under the name metagenome. RNAcentral describes it as "bacterial LSU rRNA". It matches the Rfam family "Bacterial large subunit ribosomal RNA", at positions 1640 to 2916 of the family's 2925-position model. The record is from RNAcentral.